Molecule: long non-coding RNA, 2414 nt
Organism: Varanus komodoensis (Komodo dragon)
Lineage: Eukaryota; Metazoa; Chordata; Lepidosauria; Squamata; Varanidae
Exons: 3
Source: RefSeq, a predicted model, not a curated record
AUCUUGAUGUUUUUCAGGGCUUAUAUGUGACCAAGUUAAUUAUCUCAAAAUUUCUUUUUUAUCUUCUGUAUGUUUCCCCCUUAUUUUUUAGAAGUCUAUUCAGAAAGAAAUAACAACAAAGAAGAAUUCAAGCCUGAAUUUGCUGCAUUAUAAUGAUUUGAGCAGUACCAUUUUUAUUUUUGCCAGUAAGGAGAUUUUUGCUAUAGGAAGGCAAUCUUAUUAUUUAUUUGUUUAAAACAUUUGCAUGCCGCCUAUUGUGACACAGCACCUCUGGGCAUCUCACAAUCAUAAGAUAAAAAACACAAUCCAAAACUAAUUACAACAGUUAAAAAUACAAUAUGAAUAAAAUACAGAUAAAAAUGCAAACAGAGGCUAUGGUAUAUCCAAAAAGAAUGUAGGCUAUUUUAGAUAUUCUCUCCCAAGACCUCUCUCAAUAACACUUUCCCAGUAGUGCCUCCCAUAAUGGACACUAUUAUGGCUCCAGGAAGGGGAACUCAAUAAUAGGUUCUUCCUAUCUCCACCUCUCUGCCAUACCCAAAGCAGGAAGAACUUCAGAGCAUUCUAGUGGGUGGAGAGGUGAGAGAACAAGGAUUCUAUCGUCUUUCUGGCAUCCAUCCCACCCACCACUAGUAAGCUACUAAGUGGCCUUACAUGUGAGCAGGUGGACCCCAUCUUUCAUCUGCUCAGCUUAGCUCUAUUGGGAAUGCAGUUUCUCCCCCACCCCUAAGUUUAGCCCCUGCUCAGUGCAGGAUGUAUCUACAGCAUCUCUGACUUGAGUCUGAUGAAAAUACCUUGAAUAAAGGAGGGUCCAUCACCAUUCUAGACAGUUUGUUCCACUAUUGAACAUUUCUUACUGAUGCCAGGUUUCCCCCAAUGUUUAGAGGAAAUAUCUUUCCUUGAAUUUCCAUCCCUUGGUCUCAGCCUGCCCCCUGGAACAAGAGACAACAAGCCUACUCCAACUUUUGAAUUCCUUUCCUUCAAAGUGCCUUCUUCCACUGAGUAUGCACAGAAGCCCUUUUCUGAAUUGCAUAUGUCAAGCCCUUAACAUGAACAUGGGUGGAACUGUACAUUUCAGGAAACAGGAGUGGAAUACCUGAGAUAUGUGGGGCACAGACCUUUCAGCAAGGUUUCUUCUUCUUUUUCUUGUGGGGUAACUAAAGGCUCCAAUCUACCAAGCAGCUGAGCAAGCUUUUGUUUCCCAUGCGACCCCCAGAAAGGCAUGAGAUGCUAAGAAGUGGUGCUGAAGAAGGCUGCAGUUGUCGGCCAAAACUCUGGGGCUUUGCAACUAGCCUGCAUUUUAUUUAUGUGGAUGGGUGUUUGUCCAUACUAAAAACCCCAACCACUUGACAAUAAUAAAACCACUGCACAGUAAAAUAACAUAUAAAAAUGAAAACAAGCAAUGGAGGAACCACCAGCCAGCUAAAAGCAUUGACCAUCAAUAGCUCAGAAGGUUGGGAAAUGAUCAAGUCGAAAGACGAAAGAACUACUGGAACAAGAUGACCUUCCCAUAAGAACAAAAAUCAUCCAAGAUGGAUAUGGAUAGGAAUCCACUAGAAGGGAUUUCCAUAGCCUGUGAUCACCCCACUGAAGUCCUCUUCUGCUCCCAUGCUAGAUAUAUUUAUUUCAUUCUUAGUUAAGUCAUCACCUAAAUUUUUAUAAAUGCACUUCAGAUGUUGGUAGGAAAUAGAGGAGAACUUUUCCUGAAAAUGCUUGGGCAUUUUUCUAUCAGAGAACUGGGGGUUCUCUACUCAGGAAACCUGGUUCAUUGCUCUUUGAAUGCAUUAUUAGUAGUAUUGUGGUUGUUGUCAUUGUUGUUUCUAUACCACCAAUAGCCCAAGCUCAACUUAAGUAUUUAUGUAUUUGCACCCCACUUUUCUACCAAGAACAGCUCUCAAGUCAGCUUUCAAGCACAAAUUAACCAAUUUAGGACUGGGAAAUGGCCUGUGCCGUAAUUCCAUUCUGUACAUCUCCUCCAAAGAAUCCUCAGAGAAUCCCUCACUGGCAUCUUGGAACUCGGAACUACUGGUUAUUCACUGAUGCUAUUCUAAAAAAUACUAAAAGGAAACAUAAUCUCUGACCAAUGUUCAACUCUGUCACUGUGCCAAUAAAGUGAAGCAUUUUGUAAAAGAAAAUCUGUACGUGCACACAAAUUAGCUUGAUCUAUUGAUGGGAAAACAAUUGUAUCUUGACAAUGUAUUAUUAACAUCAGCCCUUGGUGACCCAAAUCUUCAAAAACAUGCAUAUAAUGUCAACAAGAUUAUCUAAAUAUCUGCUUUCAAUGCAAAGCUGAGAAAUGUAAAAAUGUCUGUGGGAUUGGAGAACUAAAGCAAAUAUUCUGGAAACUUUUUAGACUGAACUCAGCAAAACAAACUCGCCUUUAAGUUGAUCCAUGGAGUCCAAUCUCCUAAACUGAA